This 74-nucleotide small RNA is filed under the name Sphingomonas sp. PP-CC-3G-468. Its description in RNAcentral is "suhB". The record is from RNAcentral. Lineage: Bacteria; Pseudomonadati; Pseudomonadota; Alphaproteobacteria; Sphingomonadales; Sphingomonadaceae.
UGGCGACGCCUUUCAGGCAUCCUCUCCUAAAAACUAUCCGGGCCGGCUCACGCUGGCCUUUUUUUGUCUGCCGA